GUCUCUUCGGGGAUGAUUAAACCGGCGCACGGGUGAGUAACACGUGAGUGACCUGCCUUUUAGACUGGAACAACUUACCGAAAGGUGAGCUAAUGCCGGAUGAGUUAUAUAAGUGCAUGUUUAUAUAGGAAAAGUUGGGGAGACCUGACGCUGAAAGAUGGACUCGCGUCCCAUUAGCUAGUUGGUAGGGUAAUGGCCUACCAAGGCGACGAUGGGUAGCCGGCCUGAGAGGGUGGCCGGCCACACUGGGACUGAGACACGGCCCAGACUCCUACGGGAGGCAGCAGUGGGGAAUUUUGCGCAAUGCUCGUAAGAGUGACGCAGCGACGCCGCGUGAAUGACGAAGGCCUUCGGGUCGUAAAGUUCUUUCGACAGGGAAGAAAAUGCCUAUAAGUAACUGUGUAUGUAUUGACGGUACCUGUAUAAGCAGCCCCGGCUAACUCCGUGCCAGCAGCCGCGGUAAUACGGAGGGGGCGAGCGUUGUUCGGAGUGACUGGGCGUAAGGAGCACGUAGGCGGUGUUGUAAGUCAUUAGUCAAAGACUAGAGCUCAACUUUAGUAAGGCUAGUGAUACUAUAAUACUAGAGUAUCAGAGAGGAUUGCAGAAUUCCUGGUGUAGCGGUGAAAUGCGUAGAUAUCAGGAGGAAUACCGUUAGCGAAGGCGGCAAUCUGGCUGGAAACUGACGCUGAGGUGCGAAAGCGUGGGUAGCAAACAGGAUUAGAUACCCUGGUAGUCCACGCUGUAAACGAUGGAUGCUAGGUGUUGGGCUUUUAAGUUCAGUGCCGCA
This 787-nucleotide ribosomal RNA is filed under the name uncultured bacterium. RNAcentral describes it as "bacterial SSU rRNA". It matches the Rfam family "Bacterial small subunit ribosomal RNA", at positions 74 to 850 of the family's 1533-position model. The record is from RNAcentral.